RNAcentral lists this ribosomal RNA (237 nucleotides) under uncultured bacterium. Its description in RNAcentral is "partial 16S ribosomal RNA". It matches the Rfam family "Bacterial small subunit ribosomal RNA", at positions 15 to 229 of the family's 1533-position model. The record is from RNAcentral.
GAUCUGGCUCAGGACGAACGCUGGCGGCGUGCUUAACACAUGCAAGUCGAACGAAGAGCGAUGGAAGCUUGCUUCUAUCAAUCUUAGUGGCGAACGGGUGAGUAACGCGUAAUCAACCUGCCCUUCAGAGGGGGGACAACAGUUGGAAACGACUGCUAAUACCGCAUACGAUCCAACCUCGGCAUCGAGGAUGGAUGAAAGGUGGCCUCUAUUUAUAAGCUAUCACUGAAGGAGGGG